Molecule: long non-coding RNA, 598 nt
Organism: Oreochromis niloticus (Nile tilapia)
Lineage: Eukaryota; Metazoa; Chordata; Actinopteri; Cichliformes; Cichlidae
Exons: 3
Source: RefSeq, a predicted model, not a curated record
CUCACUUCAAUAUUGUGUACAUCCAAUUCACUGCAGAGCAUCCAAGACUGUGAUCAGUUGGAGAGCGGUUGCUUCCUACCAAGCGACCUUUACAAUCAUCAUUUGAUGAAAAGCGGGUUGCCCAGAGGAUGACGGUGUUGCACACUCAACCCCUGGAUGAGCAGUUGGCUGCUGGAUUAGUAGGAGUAACAUUAAGGAACACGCUGUGCAGCAAGGAGACACUUAAACUGCAUGUAACUCAACUCCUCGCUGCUCUAGGAGGACAUCACACUAUCUCCCAAGUCAUAUGAGCCGAUACUUGAAAACUUUCCCUCACCUUGAAUGCAUGAAUACAGUGUGUAUCUGUUGUGUAUAUCCAAGUAAUAUGCUUGCAAACUUUGAAGGUCAAAUGUUUUUAGUCAAUGGUCUUUAUAGUUAUAAAAAAAAAAAACAGUGUAACACAAGAAAAACUCAGAGAAUGCAUGAAAUUCUACUGGGAAUCUUAUCUCUGUAUGUCUGAAUUGAUGCUUGUUAUGUGUGUCGAGUGUAGCUUUAAGCUAUUGUACAAUAAAAUGUUGAAUUGAUCUGCUAAAUUCAAGGUCUAAGAGGUCCUUUCAAG